This 778-nucleotide ribosomal RNA is filed under the name uncultured bacterium. RNAcentral describes it as "bacterial SSU rRNA". It matches the Rfam family "Bacterial small subunit ribosomal RNA", at positions 8 to 798 of the family's 1533-position model. The record is from RNAcentral.
AGAGUUUGAUCCUGGCUCAGGACGAACGCUGGCGGCGUGCUUAACACAUGCAAGUCGAGCGGAAAGGCCCUUUCGGGGGUACUCGAGCGGCGAACGGGUGAGUAACACGUGAGUAAUCUGCCCUUGGCUUUGGGAUAAGCCCCGGAAACGGGGUCUAAUACCGGAUACGACCAAUCUCUGCAUGGAGUGUUGGUGGAAAGUUUUUUCGGCCAGGGAUGUGCUCGCGGCCUAUCAGCUUGUUGGUGGGGUAAUGGCCUACCAAGGCGACGACGGGUAGCCGGCCUGAGAGGGCGACCGGCCACACUGGGACUGAGACACGGCCCAGACUCCUACGGGAGGCAGCAGUGGGGAAUCUUGCGCAAUGGGCGAAAGCCUGACGCAGCGACGCCGCGUGGGGGAUGACGGCCUUCGGGUUGUAAACCUCUUUCAGCAGGGAAGAAGCCGUAAGGUGACGGUACCUGCAGAAGAAGCACCGGCUAACUACGUGCCAGCAGCCGCGGUAAUACGUAGGGUGCAAGCGUUGUCCGGAAUUAUUGGGCGUAAAGAGCUCGUAGGUGGCGGGUCACGUCGGGUGUGAAAGCCCGGGGCUUAACCCCGGGUCUGCAUUCGAUACGGGCCUGCUAGGGUCCGGCAGGGGAGACUGGAAUUCCUGGUGUAGCGGUGAAAUGCGCAGAUAUCAGAGGAACACCAAUGGCGAAAGGCAGCUCUCUGGUACGUGACUGACACUGAGACGCGAAAGCGUGGGGAGCGAACAGGAUUAGAUACUCUGGUAGUCCAC